GACGAACGCUGGCGGCGUGCUUAACACAUGCAAGUGGAGCGACGAACCAGGGCUUGCCCUGGGGCAGAGCCGCGAACGGGUGAGUAACACGUGGGCAACCUGCCUAUAAGACUGGGAUAACUUCGGGAAACCGGAGCUAAUACCGGAUACGUUCUUUCNCGCAUGAGAGAAGAUGGAAAGACGGCAUCUCGCUGUCACUUA
RNAcentral lists this ribosomal RNA (201 nucleotides) under uncultured bacterium. RNAcentral's name for it is "partial 16S ribosomal RNA". It matches the Rfam family "Bacterial small subunit ribosomal RNA", at positions 28 to 221 of the family's 1533-position model. The record is from RNAcentral.